RNAcentral lists this ribosomal RNA (767 nucleotides) under bacterium. Its description in RNAcentral is "bacterial SSU rRNA". It matches the Rfam family "Bacterial small subunit ribosomal RNA", at positions 35 to 782 of the family's 1533-position model. The record is from RNAcentral.
GUCCGGCCGGCUGCCUAUACUUGCAAGUUCGAGCGAAUGGGAUUGAGAAGCUUGCUCUCAAGAAGUUAGCGGCGGACGGGUGAGUAACACGUGGGUAACCUGCCCAUAAGACUGGGAUAACUCCGGGAAACCGGGGCUAAUACCGGAUAACAUUUUGAACUGCAUGGUUCGAAAUUGAAAGGCGGCUUCGGCUGUCACUUAUGGAUGGACCCGCGUCGCAUUAGCUAGUUGGUGAGGUAACGGCUCACCAAGGCAACGAUGCGUAGCCGACCUGAGAGGGUGAUCGGCCACACUGGGACUGAGACACGGCCCAGACUCCUACGGGAGGCAGCAGUAGGGAAUCUUCCGCAAUGGACGAAAGUCUGACGGAGCAACGCCGCGUGAGUGAUGAAGGCUUUCGGGUCGUAAAACUCUGUUGUUAGGGAAGAACAAGUGCUAGUUGAAUAAGCUGGCACCUUGACGGUACCUAACCAGAAAGCCACGGCUAACUACGUGCCAGCAGCCGCGGUAAUACGUAGGUGGCAAGCGUUAUCCGGAAUUAUUGGGCGUAAAGCGCGCGCAGGUGGUUUCUUAAGUCUGAUGUGAAAGCCCACGGCUCAACCGUGGAGGGUCAUUGGAAACUGGGAGACUUGAGUGCAGAAGAGGAAAGUGGAAUUCCAUGUGUAGCGGUGAAAUGCGUAGAGAUAUGGAGGAACACCAGUGGCGAAGGCGACUUUCUGGUCUGUAACUGACACUGAGGCGCGAAAGCGUGGGGACAACAGUUUCCA